UACGUAGGGUGCAAGCGUUGUCCGGAAUCAUUGGGCGUAAAGCGCGCGUAGGCGGCCCGAUAAGUCCGCUGUAAAAGUCAACGGCUCAACUGUUGAAAGCCGGUGGAUACUGUCGGGCUAGAGUACGGAAGAGGCAAGUGGAAUUCCUGGUGUAGCGGUGGAAUGCGCAGAUAUCAGGAGGAACACCAGUGGCGAAGGCGGGUCUCUGGACAGUUCCUGACACUGAGGCACGAAGGCCAGGGGAGCAAACGGG
RNAcentral lists this ribosomal RNA (253 nucleotides) under uncultured bacterium. RNAcentral describes it as "partial 16S ribosomal RNA". It matches the Rfam family "Bacterial small subunit ribosomal RNA", at positions 524 to 776 of the family's 1533-position model. The record is from RNAcentral.